UACGAAGGGGGCUAGCGUUGCUCGGAAUGACUGGGCGUAAAGGGCGCGUAGGCGGUUUGUACAGUCAGGUGUGAAAUUCCCGGGCUCAACCUGGGGGCUGCACUUGAUACGUAGGAACUGGAGUGGGGAAGAGGGUCGUGGAAUUCCCAGUGUAGUGGUGAAAUGCGUAGAUAUCGGGAGGAACACCAGUGGCGAAGGCGACUACCUGGCCUGUUCUUGACGCUGAGGCGCGAAAGCUAGGGGAGCAAACGGG
Molecule: ribosomal RNA, 253 nt
Filed under: uncultured bacterium
Lineage: Bacteria
Description: partial 16S ribosomal RNA
Rfam family: Bacterial small subunit ribosomal RNA
Source: RNAcentral